Molecule: long non-coding RNA, 1476 nt
Filed under: Parus major (Great Tit)
Lineage: Eukaryota; Metazoa; Chordata; Aves; Passeriformes; Paridae
Description: lncRNA (ENSPMJG00000016097.1)
Source: RNAcentral
GAGAUACCAGUGUAACCAUGAAUUCUGACAGUGAGGCUUGCAUCACUGAAGAUUAAGAAGGAAAAGGGUAGCUCUCUGUAAUCUACAGGACACAGCAGAGGGCAACCAGUCAUGGCAGUCUUCAGGUUUAAGCUUUGGGAAUUUGCUUGGCUUGAAUUCUGACAGGAGUCUUCCAGGUGACAGCAAUAUUGAGACAUGAGAAAAGCACCUUGACAUGUCUUCUAAAGAGGUUGGCUGGAAUGGAAAUAUUCCUUCAUCUUGCACUAUCUUGGCAAAUUUCUUACAGGUGGAGAAGCACAUAUGGUUGAACAUCUCUCCACAAAGAGCAGAAAUAGAGAUUCUUGAGGCAUCAAGGCUGGAAAAGAAAACAUUCUUCAAAUGGCCACACUACUUAGAGAUAAGAACUUUAACCUCAAUCUGUGACCCAAGCCCCAUCACCCCUCUUCUCUCUGAAUGUUUCAGGAGAUGGAAGUUUGUGGGUGGGUGUUGCCCCUUGACCCUUCCUGCAACUUCAUCAUUACCGGAAAAUCAGACUGAAUCACUCUGCUGGUGCCUCUUGCACGUCCUGUGUUUCUUUAAACUUCCCGAUUCCCUUUCUUCCUCCUUCCACCUCCUCAGCUGCAUCCACCAUUGCACAAGCUAUUCUGAGGUUGCACUCCUUGCUGCACACUGGUCCCACUGUUAGGCCACACUAUACCUGGGAUUUCUCUCCUUGCCUGUAGUCAGCAGUAUUUGCUGGAGCUCAGCUUUCUAACUGAACACUAGCCUGAGCUAUAAAAUUAUGUAGAAACAAAGGAAACCAGGCACAUUUUUAAACCCUUUGAAUUUCAUAUGAGAAUGAAUCAUAGAAAGAGUAAUUUUCUUCUCUUACUGAAUAGGGAACUGCAUUAAGGUUGGAAGGAAAAUGACUGGUAAAGCAACUUUAUUUGUUUCAUGUUAAGGCAGCCACUGCAAGUUUUUUCAGCUACCCAUCUACCUUUUUUUUGCCUUAUUUUGGGAAAAAGACACAAUUCUUCUUUCUCCACUCCUUCCCAAGAAAUCUUAUUUUGAGGUUGAAUUAAAUAUUUUAAUGUACUGUGAAUGCUCCCUUACCAAAAAAAAACAGCUUAACUGUUUUAGGUAAACAAAAGCAACAAAAAACAUCUUUUCAGUGUCACCAGUGAACUGUCUGAAUCGAUAACUCACACAGCACGAGGGAGAGGCCUGCUUUGAGUCCAGGAGUGGAUAAUUGACUUUAUGCUGCAUUUGACUUCAGUGAUCCUUGGAGAGAGAGGACAUUUGAGUCAGCUACAGCUCAGUGAUAUUGUCAAGUGCCCAGCCAGCCAUGCCAGGGGCGCAGGUGUGGUUGGCAGUGCCUGUUCACAUCCAGCUCUUAAGCUCUGCCACAGCAGCCUCUAAUUUCUGUGCCCAAGGGCAGGUGAGCUGUGAGUGUGGUGUUCUUUCCCAGAAGUGAUGAUCACUACUUCAGCUCCCAGC